UAGGGAAUCUUCGGCAAUGGGGGGAACCCUGACCGAGCAACGCCGCGUGAGUGAAGAAGGUUUUCGGAUCGUAAAGCUCUGUUGUUAAGGAAGAACGAGUGUGAGAAUGGAAAGUUCAUGCUGUGACGGUACUUAACCAGAAAGGGACGGCUAACUACGUGCCAGCAGCCGCGGUAAUACGUAGGUCCCGAGCGUUGUCCGGAUUUACUGGGCGUAAAGGGCGUGUAGGCGGCUAGAUAAGUGUGAUGUUUAAAUCCAAGGCUUAACCUUGGGGUUCAUUACAAACUGUUUAGCUUGAGUGCUGGAGAGGAUAGUGGAAUUCCUAGUGUAGCGGUAAAAUGCGUAGAUAUUAGGAGGAACACCGGUGGCGAAGGCGGCUAUCUGGACAGUAACUGACGCUGAGGCGCGAAAGCGUGGGGAGCAAACAGG
Molecule: ribosomal RNA, 429 nt
Filed under: Verrucomicrobiota bacterium
Lineage: Bacteria; Pseudomonadati; Verrucomicrobiota
Description: Verrucomicrobia bacterium partial 16S ribosomal RNA
Rfam family: Bacterial small subunit ribosomal RNA
Source: RNAcentral